Molecule: non-coding RNA, 296 nt
Organism: Camellia sinensis
Lineage: Eukaryota; Viridiplantae; Streptophyta; Magnoliopsida; Ericales; Theaceae
Source: RefSeq, a predicted model, not a curated record
AAUAUGUAGCUAACUGUAUAUAUGGUUUUUUUUUUCUCUAAUUGGUGUUAUACCAAAUAUUUUUAUAUUAAACUAACAAAUGCAUUGAUUCAGAAAUUCGGGCACAGAAGUUCCUCCUAUAACUGAGUUUAUCAAAAUUCGAUAUGCUUUUGAGCUGCUGACAAAUCCUUUAUGGAAGAGGAAUUACGACAUAUUCGGUAUUGACGAGCACAUUCAUGUUCUUGAUAGUAUCAAGGAGCGACAGGCUGGGACAAUUUUUUCUAAAAUUGACCUUCCAUUGCUGGAGUCUGCUUCCU